GCACACAAGAGUUACUUUUACACUUACAUGACUAAAUUCAAUGUAUGAAAAUACAUGUACAGUUAUAGCUCGAUGUAUAUAUAGAACACAAGAGUUACUUUUACAUGUACAGUUAUUACCAAUGUGUUUUCAACUGAUUGGGCGGAGCUUACGUUUCAAUAUGCAUAAGGAAAGUCUAAUUGAAGAUGUGUGUGAUAAGGAUGAUUGCCGUUAUAAUUUAUAUUACUGAUUUCUAAUCACCUAUCAGUGUAAAAAUAUUAUAGAAUAAUGUUAUAUUCAGAUUUUACAACUGCUGUCGUUAUGGUUUUACUUUCAUAUCCACAAAUUCUAAAAUGUGAAAAUUUUUACUUGUUUUUAAACUUCGCUUUUCAAGAAAAUUAACGGUUGCAUCUCAUUAUUUAUUUUGCAAAUAAACAUAUAGUGUUUACAUAUUUUAACCGGAUCAAUGACCAUAACUGAACACUUCAUUGAUGAGUUUAUCCCAAAACAUCUGUCUAUAGAUGGACUGGUCUAUAAUGAGCCAACCGGUUAAACUCCGCCCAGUCAAGUGAAAUAAAUCAAGUUAUAUAGCUCAAUGAAUAGCACACAAGAGUUACUGUUACACAAAAUUAAAAGUAAUAAACACAUGUACAUGUAUGGCUCAAUAUAUAGCACACACAAGUUAUUUCUACACUUAACUUAUGAAAAUACAUGUUUGGCUCAAUGUAUAGCACACAAGAGUUUCUGUUACACUAAAUGAAAAGUAAGUUAAUAUAUGUAUAAGUAUGGCUUAAUAAAUAGCACACAAACUUUACUUUUAAACUUCAAU
Molecule: long non-coding RNA, 808 nt
Filed under: Mytilus galloprovincialis (Mediterranean mussel)
Lineage: Eukaryota; Metazoa; Mollusca; Bivalvia; Mytilida; Mytilidae
Source: RNAcentral